CACUUCUAAGGAAGGCAGCAGGCGCGCAAAUUACCCAAUCCUGACUCAGGGAGGUAGUGACAAGAAAUAACAAUAAACCGGCUUAUGCCGGUUUAAUUGGAAUGAGUACAAUUUAAACAUCUUAACGAGGAACAAUUGGAGGGCAAGUCUGGUGCCAGCAGCCGCGGUAAUUCCAGCUCCAAUAGCGUAUACUAAAGUUGUUGCAGUUAAAAAGCUCGUAGUUGGAUUUCUGUGGGGACGGAGCGGCCGGCCGCAACACGCGGUUCGAGCUAGCGCUUUCCCUACAUCCUGCCGCGAACCGUGCUACCAUUAAUUUGGUGGCGCCGGGGAUCGGCUCGAUUACUUUGAGAAAAAUAGAGUGUUCAAAGCAGGCCACACGCCUUGAAUAAGUUAGCAUGGAAUAAUAACUAAGGACUUCGGUUCUAUUUUGUUGGUGUUCGGGACUGAAGUAAUGAUUGAUAGGGACAGUUGGGGCGGUCUGUAUUCCAAAGCGAGAGGUGAAAUUCUUAGACCUUCGGAAGACAAACAGCUGCGAAAGCGUUCCGCAAGGAUGUUCCCUUUGAUCAAGAACGAAAGUUGGGGGAUCGAAGACGAUCAGAUACCGUCGUAGUCUCAACUAUAAACUAUACCAGCUAGGGAUCGGCCAACGUUAUUUAAACCGACUUGGUCGGCACCUUAUGAGAAAUCAAAGCAUCUGGGUUCCGGGGGGAGUAUGGUCGCAAGGCUGAAACUUAAAGGAAUUGACGGAAGGGCACCACCAGCCGUGGAGCCUGUGGCUUAAUUUGACUCAACACGGGAAAACUUACCAGGUCCAGACAUAGUAAGGAUUGACAGAUUGAUAGCUCUUUCUUGAUUCUGUGGGUGGUGGUGCAUGGCCGUUCUUAGUUGGUGGAGUGAUUUGUCUGGUUAAUUCCGUUAACGAACGAGACCCCAGCCUGCUAAAUAGCGCGCGUGAGCUUUGCUCGCGGCGAGCUUCUUAGAGGGACUAUGAUGCGCGAUAGCACAUGGAAGUUUGGGGCAAUAACAGGUCUGUGAUGCCCUUAGAUGUUCUGGGCCGCACACGGGCUACACUGGCGCCUGCAACGAGCAUAUCAGCUGGCCCGAGAGGGUCUUGGCUAAUCUUUUGAACCGGCGCCGUGCUUGGGAUUGACCUUUGCAAUUGUUGGUCAUGCAACGAGGAAUGCCUUGUAAACGCGAGUCAUCAGCUCGCAUUGAAUACGUCCCUGCCCUUUGUACACACCGCCCGUCGCUCCUACCGAUGAAUGUUCCGAUGAAAUUUUCGGAGAGUGCCUGUGAACUUGGCUCUGCCUUGCGAACGGGAAGCUCAAAGUCACUUAAAUCUGAACAUUUC
RNAcentral lists this ribosomal RNA (1351 nucleotides) under uncultured marine eukaryote. RNAcentral describes it as "SSU rRNA". It matches the Rfam family "Eukaryotic small subunit ribosomal RNA", at positions 411 to 1775 of the family's 1831-position model. The record is from RNAcentral.